Anas platyrhynchos (mallard) is the source of this 986-nucleotide non-coding RNA. NCBI's taxonomy places the organism in Eukaryota, Metazoa, Chordata, Aves, Anseriformes, Anatidae. The record is from RefSeq and is a predicted model, not a curated record.
GCCAUUCCCUUCUGCUGAUGGACCCUUCCCACAGGCCCUGGUGGACCUGGCAAUUGGGCUAACUCUCCUCUAUAGCCACUGAGCCCUGAUGAACACAGACAUUGCUGAGGGACUUGUUCUCAGUUUGGGCUCCUGCUCCUUGUCUUUGCACCACUUGGGCUCAUCGGCUUUGCAUGUAACUGUGUUUUUUAAGGACUUCUUCACUGACAGAGAAAAGAGCCAUAACCUGUGGGUGUGGGAGCCUGAAAGGUUGCUUGCUGAGUCAUUUCUGGCAAAUGAAUUCUGAAGUGAGUCAACAGCUUGUUGCCACUUUGUCCUUGUGGUGUUAAAAGUGAUUCAUGCUGGGGUUUAGGUGGAAGCUAAGUUGCUUCCUUGCCAUGCUGACUGUCAACUAGUGGUGACUGUCAGCUAAUUGCUUGAAUUUGCCUUGGAAAACCUUGGAGACCAUUACUGGGGUUCAGCUCCAGUCCACACAGGGUUAUAUAAAACAGGAAUAGAACACCCCUGCCCUGCUCCUACUGCUGCAAUAGCAUGCAUAUCCCCACAUGUGAACUCUCCAUCAUGGACAGUCUUCAAGGUCAAGCCAGACAAUUAUCCGCUGUGAACAUUGAUAGACAACCCCCUGAUAAUUUGGGGGCACAUUUGCUACCAUCAUGAAGCAGAACAGCUACUCUGUCAUGACUUCACAUGAGCAAGAACAUCCUUAACCCAGCAGCUGCCUUAACCCACUCUCCAAACGAUCCUGGAAUAGAUUGAGCAGUUACCCGUGGACUCUGUGGAACAAUCCCACCACCCAUCUUCAGCCAUCGUUUAAUGCUGGUAUCAUGAAGUGGCCUGUGUUGUCCAUAGAGAGACACUGUGUCCUCCAGAAACCAGUAAGCAGGGCCUAACUGGAAGGCUUGGGUUCCCGAUGUCCAAGCACCCAAGCUAAGCUGAGGAGGCCAGUAACAUAAAACUCUCCUCCCUGCCUUUGUUACCAAACCUGU